Molecule: long non-coding RNA, 380 nt
Filed under: Nicotiana benthamiana
Lineage: Eukaryota; Viridiplantae; Streptophyta; Magnoliopsida; Solanales; Solanaceae
Description: long non-coding RNA (NBEN_LNC025157)
Source: RNAcentral
UCCUCUAGAACUUUUUGCAAUUCUGCUUCACUCUCCCAAACUCUACUUCUUGUGGUUCUAACCCUAGGAGCAGGCUUAGGUGAUGAAGUAUUACUUUUCUUGGUUUGUUUCGACACACCAGGGGUCCUUUGUGAGGAUGCCUUGCAUUUCUCUAGGUAAUAACUAGCCCCAACCUUUUUCUGCAUAUCGACCAAAGUUUCUUCUGUAGAUGAACCAGGUCCAUCUUAUUGUUCACUCAGAUUAACUAAUCCCUCAGCAACUUCUCCUGAGCCACUUCCCCCUGACUUCGAGCCUCCCUCUUCCCCAGUACCAUAUAUAGCUAACAUUUCCUUCUUCUUUUUCUUCCUCAUUUUCCCAGACUCAGCCACAUCAACAUCUUU